Molecule: ribosomal RNA, 225 nt
Filed under: Dianthus chinensis (rainbow pink)
Lineage: Eukaryota; Viridiplantae; Streptophyta; Magnoliopsida; Caryophyllales; Caryophyllaceae
Description: 4.5S ribosomal RNA
Source: RNAcentral
GAAGGUCACGGCGAGACGAGCCGUUUAUCAUUACGAUAGGUGUCAAGUGGAAGUGCAGUGAUGUAUGCAGCUGAGGCAUCCUAACAGACCGAUAGACUUGAACUUUGUUCCUACAUGACCCGAUCAAUUCGAUCAGGCAUUCGCCAUCUAUUUUCAUUGUUCAAGUCUUUGACAACACGAAAAAACCAUUGGUAAACUCUUUGACAACAUGAAAAAACCAAAAGC